CUGCCCUUCUUGUGUUCUGUCUUCGAACAUUCAUUUAUUCGGCACAUCUUGUCUGUGCCCUACCACGUGCCAGGCACUGAAGAUUCAGCAGCUCAGGGCUACACGGGUCUUCCAUUCUGUUGACAUCUCUUUGCCACUACCAAGAUGGAAAAUGUUGUGGUAUCACUUAUUUCCCCUUGCUCAUUAGUUGCCUGAUUAGACAUCAGAACCUCUGAGUUUCAGUCAAAGGGCUGUCUAGACUCGGAGCUUUAAGCCUUUUAAUUGUGAAAAUGACAUCACCAGUAAAGGGCCUGGCCUGGUGCUUGGCACACAGUAGACCGUCCAUAAAUGUCUGUUUUUUUGAGACCUUGGCAAAGAGGAGGAUUGAUGUGGGAGGUGGCGCAGAAGGUUAGAUUUUUGUCAUUUUAGAGAGAUCUGAGCUAGAUCAUUCAUUCAACAAAUAUCACUGUUGCACUAGGCUUUGAGAUAGAAGAGUGUGCAACGCACAGAUUAAGCCUCAAAGGGAUGAGGCAAGGUAUAAGAGAAACAGACUAGCAAACAGGCAAUUGCAACACAGUGUGAUAAGUGCUAGAAGGGGAAGUACAGGAUGUUUCUUAGCCACAAACAAGGGGCAACUAACCCAGGCUGGUGAGUGGGGGUGGGGGAAGCAUCAAGCAAGGCUUCCUGGAGGAAGUAGCAUAUGACCUGAGACUUGACGGAGACCUAGGCAUUAGGAAGGUAAAGUAUGGGGAAGGAGUGGGGAAGGGUGCAUAGUGUCCCAGGCACACGGAACAGUAUCUACAAAAGCUCAAAGGGGCUCAGAGAGGAUUGAAACUGAUAGUCUGGCUGGAGAGUCAUGUACAAGGGGAUGGAAGGCUGAGAGAUGAGGCUGGCAAGGUUCAGUUGUCGGCACUGGAGAAAUCACACCAAGAAGGGUGCAGAGACCCAUUGCAAGUGACUUGGGAAGAGGAAAACUCAGUCAUGGGCAGACACCCAGUUAAAUGGAAAGCAGAGUUAAAGGAGGACAGCGGGAAGAAUGAGAUCUUGAAAAAUCCAUCAGCAAUUUCGGGACGAUAACAUGUGCACAGAUGAUAUUUUUUAAAAACCUGGGAGAAAGGAGUCAGUGGGAGACACAAUUUGAGAGCUACUGUGGCACUCUGGGGACCAAACUAAAGUGUUUGCACCACAUGCUGGGGUAAUUCAAUCACUCAGCAAGCACUGUUUGAGCACCUGUGUUUCUCUGGCCACACUAGUCUCCCUGCUGUUCCUUGUCCUCACCAGGCAUGCUUCCCUACUCUGCCUUUAAUCUGCAGGGGGAUUAUCAUAGCUCAUUGUAACCUUGAACUCCUGGGCUCAAGCGAUUCUCCCAUUUCAGCCUCCCCAAUAGAUGGGACUACAGGCCUGCACCACCAUGCCAGGCUAUUUUUUUUUCUAUUUUGGUAUAGGUGGGGUCUCACUAUGUUGCCCAGGAGGUCACUAUCUCCUGGGCUCAAGCCAUCCUCCCGCCUUGGCCUCCCAAAGUGCUAGUAUUACAAAUGUGAGCCACCACACCCAUCCAGAGUUCCCCUUUUUUUUGAGGGCUUCCCCCUACUCAGUAGCACCAUUGUCUUAGGUCAUUUUCUGUUGCUGUAACAUAUACCACAGAUUGGGUAAUUUAUAAAGAAAUUUAUUUCUUACAGUUCUGGAGGCUGUAAAGUCCACAUCUGGUGAGGGCCUUUUUGCUGGUGGGAACUCUCUGAAGAGUCCCCAGGUGGUGCAGAGCACCACAAGGUGAGGGGACUGAGUGUGUUAGCUCAGUUCUCUCAUCCUCAUCUUAUGAAGCUGCUAGUCCCAUUCCUGUAGCAACCCAUUAGUCCAUCAACCCAUGAAUCCAUGAAUGGAUUUAUCCAUUUAUGAGGGCAGAGCUCUCAUGACCCAAUCACCUCUUAAAGGCCCCAACUCUGAAUAUUGCUACAUUGGGGGUUGAACUUCAACAUAAGUUUUGGAGGGGACAAAUAUCCAAGCCCUAGCAACCAUUUAGCAAAUGCGUAAACAAGCUGCAAUUGUGGUGACAAGAGAAGGCACAUCACCCUGGAAAGGACCCUGUCUCAUUUUUCUUUGUUUUUAUUUUUUAUUUUUAUUAAGAUUAUUUUUUAGAGAUGUGGUCUCUCCAUGUUGCCCAGGCUGGCCUUGAACUCCUAGCCUCAAGUGAUCCUCCUGCCUUAGCCUCCCAAAGUGCUGGGAUUACAGGUGUGAGCCACCAAGUCCAGUUUAUCUCAUUCAUCAUUGUACCCCAGUGCUAGGCACAUAGUAAGCAUUGAGGAAAUGUUGAAUGAAUGAAUAUCAUUUUUAAGCACUGAGGAAACCUAUUUUUAAAAUAGUAAAUGUUAUUAUCACAACUUUGUAAAAAGUGCAUUUUAAAAUGUUUCUAAAAUCCACUAAUAAAUACCAACAGUAAGCCGGACAUGGUAGUGUGUCCGUAAUCCCAACUACUCAGGAAGCUGAGGCGAGGAGGAUCACUUCAGCUUAGGAGUUUAAGGCUGCAGUGAGCUGUGAUUGUGCCACUGCACCCCAGCCUGGCCAACAGAGCAAGACCCCGUCUUUAAAAAAAGUUGUAAAAAGAAAUACCAACAGCAGUUGAAUGGUGGAGUUCUGGGAAAUCUUUCGUUAUUUCCUUUUCUUUUCUCUUCCUUCCUUCCUUCCUUCCUUUCUCUUUCUUUCUUUCCUUUUUUUUUUUUUUUGACAGUGUCUUGCUGUCGCCCAGGCUGGAGUGCAGUAGUGCAAUCUUGGCUCGCUGCAACCUCUGCCUCCUGGGCUCAAGCACACCUCAACCUCCCUAGUAGCUGGGAUUCCAGGCGCAUGCCACCACGCCCAUCUAAUUUUUCUAUUUUUAGUAGAGAUGGGAUUUUGCCAUGUUGGCCAGGCUGGUCUUGAACUCCUGACCUCAAGUGAUCCACCUGCCUCGGCCUCCCAAAGUGCUGGGAUUACAGGCAUGAGCCACUGUACCUGGCCUUUUUCUUUCUUUUCUGUAUUUUUCCCAUUUUGUGUACUAUAGCAACAUUUUUAAUAAUGAAUAAAGUAUAUUUUAGUCCCAUCCACACCUUCCUUCCUCCCAAAAAAGGAAUUGUGAGAAUUACAAUUUACAACCUAAUAUUUUAAAAGUCUUGUGCCAUGUAAAGUGUAAAUGACGAAGACUGAGAAACCAUGACCUGAACUUUAUAAUGCAAUGAAAUAAAGUUUACCACACUCUGACGUGUCUGACAAUAUGCAUGAGGAUUGUGUAGCUGGGCAUGACCAACAAUUCUCAUAAAACACUGUGAUUGGUAUUACUUGAAACAGCCAAACUGGCCUCUGUCAGAUGCUUGGGGAAGGGAGGCGGGAACUGGAUGGGGUGUGUGUGGCUCUGUUGGCCUCAGAAGACCCCUGGAUCCAUAACCCAGGUAUGCCACUUUGCUGGCAGAGAAGGCCAGGACCUGGGAGCUCCGAGGACCUCCGGCUGACAGAUUUGCAGCCUCCAAGUGGGGCUGGUGCUGCACAGGCUUCACAAAGGAGCUUUUUACCACAACAGGAACGGCACGAACACCCCAAACUCUGCUUUCCUUCCCUUCCCAGCCUUCUAGAUAUGGAGAGUUCAUAAGGAUACUGCCUGAAAUGUCAUCAAUAAAAAUGUGUUGGGCAGCAGAACGAUUGCCUUUGAGAGGGCUAGAGGAGAGAAUAUUCAUUCACACAACAAAUGUUUAUUGAGAAUCUACUAUAUGCCAAGCAUAAGGGAGGUCCUGUGCAUACAUGGUGUCAUUUCCUUGCAUCAGCCUGAUGAAGAUGCUAUUAGACCCCACUAUACAGAUAAUGAAACAGGCUGGGAAAUGUUAAGUUAGUGACACUGAGUCACACAUUUAAGUAAGUGGUGGUAGUGGGGAGGGAGGUGGAAAGGGAGGGAGGAGGGACUCAAACACAGCCCCAUCAGAGGUGGAGAGCCUCUCUUCCCACAUUGCGCAUUGCACAACAGCAGAGGUUUCCAGACUUCAUGCUUACAGCCUUUGUGACCAUCAGCAGCUACUCUGGGUCUCGGUCUCCUUGUUUAUAAAAAUAAAGUGCUUGAAUGGCUCACACCUGCAAUCCCAGCACUUUGGGAGGCCAAGGCAGUCGGAUCACUUGAGGUCAGGAGUUUGAAACCAGCCUGGCCAACAUGGUGAAACCCUGUCUCUACUAAAAGUACAAAAAAAAAAAAAAAAAAAAAAGCACUAGCUGGGUGUGGUGUUGGACACCUGUAGUCCCAGCUACUCAGGAGGCUAAGGCAGGAGAACUGUCUGAACCCAGGUGGU
Molecule: long non-coding RNA, 4280 nt
Filed under: Homo sapiens (human)
Lineage: Eukaryota; Metazoa; Chordata; Mammalia; Primates; Hominidae
Description: HSALNT0381733
Source: RNAcentral